Molecule: ribosomal RNA, 301 nt
Filed under: uncultured bacterium
Lineage: Bacteria
Description: partial 16S ribosomal RNA
Rfam family: Bacterial small subunit ribosomal RNA
Source: RNAcentral
CAGUCGCCACGGUAAUACGAAGGGUGCAAGCGUUACUCGGAAUUACUGGGCGUAAAGCGUGCGUAGGUGGUGGUUUAAGUCCGUUGUGAAAGCCCUGGGCUCAACCUGGGAAUUGCAGUGGAUACUGGGUCACUAGAGUGUGGUAGAGGAUAGUGGAAUUUCCGGUGUAGCAGUGAAAUGCGUAGAGAUCGGAAGGAACAUCUGUGGCGAAGGCGACUAUCUGGGACAACACUGACGCUGAGGCACGAAAGCGUGGGGAGCAAACAGGAUUAGAUACCCCAGUAGUCCCUGUCUCUUAUAC